UUUUCACCAUGUGACCUGCCGCCGC
Molecule: non-coding RNA, 25 nt
Filed under: Mus musculus (house mouse)
Lineage: Eukaryota; Metazoa; Chordata; Mammalia; Rodentia; Muridae
Source: RNAcentral